GCCAGGUAUGGUGGUGCAUGCCUUUAAUCCCAGUACUCAGGAGACAGGGGCUGGCAGAUCUCAGUGAGUUUGAGGCCAGGCUGGUCUACAAAGUGAGUUCCAGGCCAGCCAGGGCUACAUAGAGAGACCUUGUCUCAAACAACAAUAGUGUAAUAGUCCUAGCUGUCCUGGAACUCGCUUUGUAGACCAGCCUGGCCUCAAACUCACUGAGAUCUGCCUGCCUCAU
Molecule: small RNA, 226 nt
Filed under: Microtus ochrogaster (prairie vole)
Lineage: Eukaryota; Metazoa; Chordata; Mammalia; Rodentia; Cricetidae
Description: Metazoan signal recognition particle RNA (ENSMOCG00000007743.1)
Source: RNAcentral